UGGGGAAUAUUGGGCAAUGGGCGAAAGCCUGACCCAGCAACGCCGCGUGAAGGAAGAAGGUCUUCGGAUUGUAAACUUCUUUUAUGAGGGACGAAGGACGUGACGGUACCUCAUGAAUAAGCCACGGCUAACUACGUGCCAGCAGCCGCGGUAAUACGUAGGUGGCAAGCGUUAUCCGGAUUUACUGGGUGUAAAGGGCGCGUAGGCGGGGGAUGCAAGUCAGAUGUGAAAUAUAUGGGCUUAACUCAUAACUGCAUUUGAAACUGUAUCUCUUGAGUGCUGGAGAGGUAGACGGAAUUCCUUGUGUAGCGGUGAAAUGCGUAGAUAUAAGGAAGAACACCAGUGGCGAAGGCGGUCUACUGGACAGUAACUGACGCUGAGGCGCGAAAGCGUGGGGAGCAAACAGGAUUAGAUACCC
Molecule: ribosomal RNA, 418 nt
Filed under: uncultured bacterium
Lineage: Bacteria
Description: bacterial SSU rRNA
Rfam family: Bacterial small subunit ribosomal RNA
Source: RNAcentral